AGUGCCCACAGCAGGUGUGCCAUAAGCGACGGACCAGGGCCUCCUCCUCAGCAUCGCCACUGCAGCUCUAGAGCUUCUCCCAGCUUCUCUGCACCACCUGCCCGGGAUGAAGCCCUUGGCCUGUGGUCAGGUCCAGGCUUAGGCGGAAGCAGCACCCUGUGAGGAGUCAUACGCAGACCCCUGCACUUGCUGGCACCCUGUACGCCACUUGCUGCUCUGCCGACUUGCAAUGCUGAUUCCCAGGUUACUCGUCGGGGCUGUCCCACCGGGUUACCGGCAAUAAGGGCGAGCACCUUUGCCCCCUCGUCCGUUCUGCCUGUGGAACCAGCCCACACAGCGUUUCUCCUUCUCCUGGGCAGCCCGCGGCCCACGCCCCGGCCUUCCCAGCUUCUCUGUGAGCUGACGCGACGUGUGUCCCUGGCAGCCUCUCACUGUGCUCCAGUUCUGACUGCAGCGAGUGGACUUCUGUCAGCAGUCCACGAAGGAGCCAUGCUUUCAUUUGGGACCUCUAAGCCUCGUCUCUCUAGAAGAAGGAGUUUCAGUUACUCCUCUUGUCAAAAGGAAAAAUUGCCAGACACCUGAAGGAGCACUGCCCUGACUCCUGUGGCAAGAGAGAGGUAAACUGUAGCCACUCAACCAAGGGACGGUGGAGUGCCCUCUCCCGGGGCCUGGCCGGGGUCCCUGUGCCACACUCAGCAGCAGCAAACAGAUGGAGAUUGGCGCCCGCAUGGAGAGCCGCCGGGAGGGUCCUGUGGGUCAGUCUGCACUGGAGUGGACGAUGGACCUGGUACCGUCUGCUUGGGGAACUUGCUCUGCUGGAGGCCUCCGGACGUUUGCCUCUGGGGCUCAGACCGGAAGUCGUCCUAGCGGAGCAGGUGAGCCGCUUCUGGGGCAGGGAGGACCUUGAUGGUGCAGAGGGGCCCGGAAGCCCUUUCAGGGAGGCCCACCUGCACUUCACAGUGUCAUCCUGGUGCAAUGACCCCGUUCAGCGUGUUUAUUCAGUUACGCUCGCCUUCCCUCCUGCCCGGGACUCCGUCCCCCCACCCCCCGUCCAAGGGGGAGGCCUCCCCAGCGGAGCUUCAAGGGAGCCCAUCCUCAGGGACACACGAGGGCCCAGCGUGCCGGGUGAGAGUGGGACAGGAAGGAACGGUGGCUGGUGGGUGAGGUAG
This 1169-nucleotide long non-coding RNA is filed under the name Sus scrofa (pig). RNAcentral describes it as "lncRNA (ENSSSCG00030030037.1)". Lineage: Eukaryota; Metazoa; Chordata; Mammalia; Artiodactyla; Suidae. The record is from RNAcentral.